RNAcentral lists this ribosomal RNA (348 nucleotides) under uncultured bacterium. RNAcentral's name for it is "bacterial SSU rRNA". It matches the Rfam family "Bacterial small subunit ribosomal RNA", at positions 20 to 352 of the family's 1533-position model. The record is from RNAcentral.
UGGCUCAGAACGAACGCUGGCGGCGUGCCUAACACAUGCAAGUCGAACGAGAAAGGGGCUUCGGCCCUGAGUAAAGUGGCGCACGGGUGAGUAACACGUAGGUAACCUGCCUCUGAGAUUGGGAUAACUCGUCGAAAGAUGGGCUAAUACCAAAUAAGACCACGAAUUCUUUGGGAUCUGAGGUCAAAGGUAGCCUCUAUUUAUAAGCUAUCACUUAGAGAUGGGCCUGCGCACCAUUAGCUAGUUGGUAGGGUAACGGCCUACCAAGGCAAGGAUAAUUAGCUGGUCUGAGAGGACGGACAGCCACACUGGGACUGAGUCUCGGCCCAGAGACCUACGGGAGGCAGC